This 253-nucleotide ribosomal RNA is filed under the name uncultured bacterium. RNAcentral's name for it is "partial 16S ribosomal RNA". It matches the Rfam family "Archaeal small subunit ribosomal RNA", at positions 474 to 727 of the family's 1478-position model. The record is from RNAcentral.
UACCAGCACCCCGAGUGGUCGGGACGAUUAUUGGGCUUAAAGCAUCCGUAGCCGGUUCUGCAAGUCCCCCGUUAAAUCCAGCUGCUCAACAGAUGGGCCGCGGAGGAUACUACAGAGCUAGGAGGCAGGAGAGGCAAGCGGUACUCAGUGGGUAGGGGUAAAAUCCGUUGAUCCAUUGAAGACCACCAGUGGCGAAGGCGGCUUGCCAGAAUGCGCUCGACGGUGAGGGAUGAAAGCUGGGGGAGCAAACCGG